GACGAACGCUGGCGGCGUGCCUAAUACAUGCCAGUCGAGCGGACGAAUCGAAAGCUUGCUUUUGAUUCGUUAGCGGCGGACGGGUGAGUAACACGUGGGCAACCUGCCCUGUAGACGGGGAUAACACCGAGAAAUCGGUGCUAAUACCGGAUAACACGACAUGUCGCAUGACGUUUCGUUUAAAGACGGCUCACGCUGCCGCUACAGGAUGGGCCCGCGGCGCAUUAGCUAGUUGGUGAGGUAACGGCUCACCAAGGCGACGAUACGUAGCCGACCUGAGAGGGUGAUCGGCCACACUGGAACUGAGACACGGCCCAGACUCCUACGGGAGGCAGCAGUAGGGAAUCUUCCGCAAUGGACGAAAGUCUGACGGAGCAACGCCGCGUGAGCGAAGAAGGCCUUCGGGUCGUAAAGCUCUGUUGUUAGGGAAGAACAAGUAACGCAGUAACUGGCGUUACCGUGACGGUACCUAAAGAGAAAGCCACGGCUAACUACGUG
This 498-nucleotide ribosomal RNA is filed under the name uncultured bacterium. Its description in RNAcentral is "partial 16S ribosomal RNA". It matches the Rfam family "Bacterial small subunit ribosomal RNA", at positions 28 to 507 of the family's 1533-position model. The record is from RNAcentral.